CGGACGUCUCAGUUCGGAUUGCAGGCUGCAACUCGCCUGUAUGAAGUCGGAAUUGCUAGUAAUCGCGGAUCAGCAUGCCGCGGUGAAUACGUUCCCGGGCCUUGUACACACCGCCCGUCACACCAUGAGAGCCGGGAACACCCGAAGUCCGUAGUCUAACCGCAAGGAGGACGCGGCCGAAGGUGGGUUUGGUAAUUGGGGUGAAGUCGUAACAAGGUAUC
Molecule: ribosomal RNA, 221 nt
Filed under: uncultured bacterium
Lineage: Bacteria
Description: partial 16S ribosomal RNA
Rfam family: Bacterial small subunit ribosomal RNA
Source: RNAcentral